This is a non-coding RNA of Triticum aestivum (bread wheat), 2007 nucleotides long. The record is from Rfam. Lineage: Eukaryota; Viridiplantae; Streptophyta; Magnoliopsida; Poales; Poaceae.
CGACCCCAGGUCAGGCGGGACUACCCGCCGAGUUUAAGCACAUAAAUAAGCGGAGGAGAAGAAACUUACAAGGAUUCCCCUAGCAACGGCGAGCGAAUCGGGAGCAGCCCAGCUUGAGAAUCGGGCGGCUGUGCCGUUCGAAUUGUAGUCUGGAGAGGCGUCCUCAGCGACGGACCGGGCCCAAGUCCCCUGGAAAGGGGCGCCUGGGAGGGUGAGAGCCCCGUCCGGCCCGGACCCUGUCGCCCCACGAGGCGCCAUCAACGAGUCGGGUUGUUUGGGAAUGCAGCCCAAAUCGGGCGGUAGACUCCGUCCAAGGCUAAAUACAGGCGAGAGACCGAUAGCGAACAAGUACCGCAAGGGAAAGAUGAAAAGGACUUAGAAAAGAGAGUCAAAGAGUGCUUGAAAUUGCCGGGAGGGACGCAGAUGGGGGCCGACGAUGCGCCCCGGCCGUAUGCGGAACGGCUCUUGCCGGUCCGCCACUUGGCUCGGGGUGUGGACUGUUGUCGGCCGCGCCGGCGGCCAAAGCCCGGGGGCCCUAGGUGCCCCCGGUGGCCAUCGUCGACACAGCUGGUACCCGCGCGCCGAAAGGCGUGUCCCUCGGGGCACUGCGCUGCAACGGCCUGCGGGCUCCCCAUCCGAACCGUCUUGAAACACGGACCAAGGAGUCUGACAUGCGUGUGAGUCGACGGGUUCUGAAACCUGGGAUGCGCAAGGAAGCUGACGAGUGGGAGGCCCUCACGGGCCGCACCGCUGGCCGACCCUGUUCUUCUGUGAAGGGUUCGAGUUGGAGCAUGCCUGUCGGGACCCGAAAGAUGGUGAACUAUGCCUGAGCGGGGCGAAGCCAGAGGAAACUCUGGUGGAGGCUCGAAGCGAUACUGACGUCCAAAUCAUUCGUCUGACUUGGGUAUAGGGGCGAAAGACUAAUCGAACCAUCUAGUAGCUGGUUCCCUCCGAAGUUUCCCUCAGGAUAGUUGGAGCCCAUUACGAGUUCUAUCAGGUAAAGCCAAUGAUUAGAGGCAUCGGGGACGCAACGUCCUCGACCUAUUCUCAAACUUUAAAUAGGUAGGAUGGCACGGCUGCUUCGGUGAGCCGUGCCACGGAAUCGGGUGCUCCAAGUGGGCCAUUUUUGGUAAGCAGAACUGGUGAUGCGGGAUGAACCGGAAGCCGGGUUACGGUGCCCAACUGCGCGCUAACCUAGAACCCACAAAGGGUGUUGGUCGAUUAAGACAGCAGGACGGUGGUCAUGGAAGUCGAAAUCCGCUAAGGAGUGUGUAACAACUCACCUGCCAAAUCAACUAGCCCCGAAAAUGGAUGGCGCUGAAGCGCGCGACCCACACCCGGUCAUCUGGGCGAGCGCCAUGCCCCGAUGUGUAGGAGGGCGCAACGGCCGCUGCAAAACACAGGGCGCGAGCCCGGGCGGAGCGGCCGUCGGUGCAGNNNNNNNNNNNNNNNNNNNNNNNNNNNNNNNNNNNNNNNNNNNNNNNNNNNNNNNNNNNNNNNNNNNNNNNNNNNNNNNNUGUGGCGGUUGACGGCGACGUUAGGAAGUCCGGAGACGCCGGCGGGGGCCUCGGGAAGAGUUAUCUUUUCUGCUUAACGGCCUGCCAACCCUGGAAACGGUUCUGUCGGAGGUAGGGUCCAGUGGCCGGAAGAGCACCGCACGUCGCGCGGUGUUCGGUGUGCCCCCGGCGGCCCAUGAAAAUCCGGAGGACCGAGUACCGUUCACGCCCGGUCGUACUCAUAACCGCAUCAGGUCUCCAAGUUGAACAACCUCUGGCCAAUGGAACAAUGUAGGCAAGGGAAGUCGGCAAAACGGAUCCGUAACUUCGGGAAAAGGAUUGGCUCUGAGGACUGGGCUCGGGGGUCCCGGCCCCGAACCCAUCGGCUGUCGGCGGAUUGCUCGAGCUGCUCACGCGGCGAGAGCGGGUCGCCGCGUGCCGGCCGAGGGACGGACCAGGAAUCGCCCCUUCGGGGGCUUUCCCCGAGCAUGAAACAGUCGACUCAGAACUG